This is a long non-coding RNA of Corvus hawaiiensis (hawaiian crow), 348 nucleotides long. RefSeq lists it as uncharacterized. NCBI's taxonomy places the organism in Eukaryota, Metazoa, Chordata, Aves, Passeriformes, Corvidae. The transcript is spliced from 2 exons. The record is from RefSeq and is a predicted model, not a curated record.
GCCGAGAGAAUUUUUACAUCGUGCAGGACACAGGAAACGGCUUCCACUGCCAGAGGGCAGGGUUAGAAAUCAGGAUUUUUAACAGCCUGUCCCACUCCCAAACCAGAAAUUAACAACUUACUGGGAAUAGCUGGGAAGGAAGAUGGGAUGAGAUCUGUCCAGGGCUCCACGAUCCAGGGAAUGCUGAAAAGCUUCACACAACCAGGGGCAAGCCCACUUCAGCAGAAAAAGGAUCAACUUCUCUUAAGAAAUCCCUUUCCACCCAGCUUAUUCUUCUUCCCAGAUCCUAAAAUUCCAGGGCAGCUGUUUUUUUUUUUUCCCCCUUGAAAUAAAAAUUCCCACCUGGCA